AGAUUCCUUUGUGGUUGAGGUCUUCUGCUGAUGAAAUAGCAGAGAUGGGGGAGAGCUGCAGUGCCUGCAGGUGGCAGGAAUGCCACAAACCAGGAGAAAGCUGGGGUUUGGCUGUCAUCAGAAGAGGAUCUCGUGCACAGUGUAAGACAACGGACAGUACAGGUGAUGCACGGUGCAGAUUGCCAGCCCAGGCUGCUCAGAGCUCCCAUUUAAGGCAGCAGUGCUAGGUUAUAUUCUGACCUACACCCUUAUGCACCAUCCACCAGUGCUGCAUCCCACCCAUCCUGCUGGCUGAUGCUGAAAGGAAGAAGGCACGCUCGCAAGGGCUGGCAUCUCUUCAAAUCAGGGACUCCAGAAACCAUUGCCUCACUGAAGAAAUCACCAUCGUUAUUCUAAAUGGUUGGGUCAAUAUGAGGAUGUCACUUGGGAAAUUUGGGGUUUAUUGCUCCCCUUCCCACCAUCAACUCACUGGGAAUAAGCGAAGCAGGCAGGUAGAUCUUCACUAAGAGAGCUGCUGCAGUGGAGGUCAGGAGUGUGCAUGGAAAGGUGAAAAGCCCAUCGAGGUGGGGAGUGGAGAAAUGGGGGGCUGUGCUCCAUACACACAGGGCUUCCAGGUCUGAAACACCUUGAGAAGAAAAAGGUGAAUGGGGAAAAUCAGAGCUGAGGGAAACAGGCAUGAAAGCUGAGCCCGAAGAUGGAGGAAUUCAAUAGGACUGGUCCCAGUAAUGAUCCCUGAGGGACACCAGUGCCAUUGAUCUCCAUCCAUUGAGCGCUGCUCUCUGGUGGAAUCUCACAACAGUUCCUCAUCCAUUGAACAGUCUGCCCAUCAAAGCUGCACUUUUCCAAGUUAGAGAGAAGGAUGUCGUUGGGGCUGUGCCAAAUGCCUCACUGGAGCCCAAGCAGAUGACAUCAGUGGUUCUUCCAUUGCCUGUGGAUGCAGUUAUCCCAUCUGGUUGGAAAUUUUGGUUUCAAAUACUUCAAAUUGAACAUUUGGAGUUUUCAUACCAAGAUGACAGUUUUGGUCCAAAUUGAAUCAUACUGAUUUUAUAUAUAUAUAUAUAUAUAUUUAUGCUAGUAAGUAAACCCUCAGGGAAAUCUCUUCUGCUCCAAAUGUGGACUAAAGGAAAUUGACAAACUCCAAAUGCUUCUCGGGGCUUCGUUUCUUGCUGCUGUUUGAUUUGCUAUCACCAGUUUUGGAUAAAAAUGGGGUUUUAUUGGUUAUUUUGGUUAGAAAUGCUGGAAUGUUUCCUAGAGACAAGCCAGGCUCCAAGAAAUUUUCACCUGGGAGAUUAUUGUAGAGUUUAUUUUUAGGU
Molecule: long non-coding RNA, 1313 nt
Organism: Lagopus leucura (white-tailed ptarmigan)
Lineage: Eukaryota; Metazoa; Chordata; Aves; Galliformes; Phasianidae
Exons: 3
Source: RefSeq, a predicted model, not a curated record